RNAcentral lists this long non-coding RNA (1588 nucleotides) under Homarus americanus (American lobster). Its description in RNAcentral is "uncharacterized LOC121860464". The record is from RNAcentral. Lineage: Eukaryota; Metazoa; Arthropoda; Malacostraca; Decapoda; Nephropidae.
UCGGCCUUAGUGUAUAUCAGUUUUCAUUCUGACCAAACACUGGACAUUGUACAUCCCUUAACCAAGAGUGUAUAUGUACAUCCCUUAACCAAGAGUGUAUAUGUAUAUCCCUUAACCAAGAGUGUAUAUGUAUAUCCCUUAACCAAGAGUGUAUAUGUAUAUCCCUUAACCAAGAGUGUAUAUGUAUAUAUCCCUUGAUCACUGAAAAGUUUUCUUCACGACCGUAAAGGAAAUUUUUAAACAAGAAUAAAGAAACAGAAGGAAGUGAAGGCGAACGGACGGACAUCAACCCAGACGGACGGACAUCAACCCAGACGGACGGACGGACAUCAACCCAAACGGACGGACGGACAUCAACCAGACUGACAGAAGGAACGGACAAACGGAUAAACGCCUACUAAAACUGCCAUUUACUGUAGAUAGAAGAUUCAUAAUAAUAACACGCCUCUGUCCGUGUGUUCGUAGUUGGGUCUCCUGAUGUGUGUUUCCUUCUUGUUAUUAAACAGCUGACGGCUUGGCACUUCAUGGUUAACCCAGAAUUAAUGGUGAACAAACAAAGGAAAUAAUUAUAAGGUGACUGUACGCAUUACGGUGAUUAAAACUAUGAAGGGGCCGUAACAAUGUAGUGACCGUAACAAUGUGAUGAGUGUAACAUGUGGUGACAGAACAAGACUAGUACAGAUCCACUUAAAAGAUUCUCGUGUUUGUGUUGGGUGUUGCUGGAGUGACCAUUGGUGAGGGGCGUCCUCAACAGGCCACCGAUCAAGAAGUGAAUCAACAACCAGUACCAGGACCCCUUGCUCUCAUCAACGAGAAAACGAUCGACACUAUUUUCGAAUUUCUGCCCACCCUGAGUGCCUCCCUCACCGACCAGGAAGGCACGCCCUUGGAGAGGAUGAACAAUGUGGCUCUCAGCUUUAUUCCUCUAGGUCAAUCAGCCGUCGACAAAGCUAAAAAUUCGAAGGAAAGGGAGUACCGCAACCGCCAGCAAAAAGCCGCAGAGCGCUUUUUGCCUCCCUUCCUGCAAGCCUUGACUGAUGUUAUAAACAGCUUCCCACCACCUACGACAUUCCCCCCUCCUCAGAUCCCGGAGUUUCCGACCUUCGACAAUGAGUUUGUGCCAGACAUUACUAUCCCAGAGGUUAAGAUUCCAGCGACCAAACUUGUCCCGGAAAUCAUCAUUCCCGAAAUCAAGACUCAGUAGGAGUGUCAAGAUCCAUAACAUACGUGGAAGAUCUACAGUAUGUAAGGCCUAAAAUUUUAAAUAUAAGUAACCAGAUUUCUUCCGUUACAUAAUUUGCUGAACUUCAUAGUGCAAAUUCUGUUUUUCCAGUAAAUUAAAAAUAGACUAGAGUUAUACCAGAUGGGUUAUGGGCAUAUUUGAAGUAUUAUGUGUAAAAAACAUUCUCUUCUAAACACAAUUAUAAAAAAUAUAAAAAAUAUGCAAUUUAAUGUUCUCUAAUAUUGAUGAAAGUUUGGAAGUAAAAACUAAUGGAAAAUCCAGCACAAGAUGUGUCCACCGUGAGAAACAACAUCAUUUGUUGUUCUUUGAAAAACUUAAUGUUACUAUUAAACGUCACAGACCUUC